Molecule: ribosomal RNA, 1412 nt
Filed under: uncultured fungus
Lineage: Eukaryota; Fungi
Description: eukaryotic LSU rRNA
Rfam family: Eukaryotic large subunit ribosomal RNA (bases 497-1412)
Source: RNAcentral
GGAAGGAUCAUUACAGAGUUGCAAAGCUCCCGAACCCUUGUGAACCUACCUGUUUCCGUUGCUUCGGCGGGUGGCCCCAGGCGGGGCCGUUUGCCUCUGUUCGCAGAGGUGCCUGCCAGAAGCCCACAAAAUUCCGGCGUUACAGCGGCAUGUCUUACCAAAAGAACAUUAACGAGUCAAAACUUUCAACAACGGAUCUCUUGGUUCUGGCAUCGAUGAAGAACGCAGCGAAAUGCGAUAAGUAAUGUGAAUUGCAGAAUUCAGUGAAUCAUCGAAUCUUUGAACGCACAUUGCGCCUGCAAGUAAUCUUGCGGGCAUGCCUGUUCGAGAGUCAUUUCAAUCCUCAAGCCCUGGCUUGGUGUUGGGGUUCUACAGCUCCUGUAGGCUCCAAAGACCAGUGGCGAACUCGCUAUAACUCCGAGCGCAGUACACGUAUCUCGUUUGGAAAAGUGUGGCGGGUUCCAGCCGCAAAACGCCCCAAUUCACAUGACAAGGUUGACCUCGGAUCAGGUAGGAAUACCCGCUGAACUUAAGCAUAUCAAUAAGCGGAGGAAAAGAAANNNNNNNNNNNNGCCCUAGUAACGGCGAGUGAAGCGGCAACAGCUCAAAUUUGAAAUCUGGCUUCAGCCCGAGUUGUAAUUUGUAGAGGAAGCUUUAGGUAAGGUGCCUCCUGAGUUCCCUGGAACGGGACGCCAGAGAGGGUGAGAGCCCCGUAUAGUUGGACACCAAGCCUUGGUAAAGCCCCUUCGACGAGUCGAGUAGUUUGGGAAUGCUGCUCAAAAUGGGAGGUAUAUCUCUCCUAAAGCUAAAUACCGGCCAGAGACCGAUAGCGCACAAGUAGAGUGAUCGAAAGAUGAAAAGUACUUUGAAAAGAGGGUUAAAUAGCACGUGAAAUUGUUGAAAGGGAAGCGCCUAUGACCAGACUUGUGCCAGGCUGAUCAUCCAGUGGUUUCACACUGGUGCACUCUGCCUAGCUCAGGCCAGCGUCGGUUUUGGUAGGGGAAUAAAAGCUCUGGGAACGUGGCUCCUCUGGGAGUGUUAUAGCCCUCUGCGCAAUACUCUUACCGGGACCGAGGUUCGCGCUCUGCAAGGACGCUGGCGUAAUGGUCAUCAGCGACCCGUCUUGAAACACGGACCAAGGAGUCGAGGUUUUGCGCGAGUGUUUGGGUGUAAAAUCCGCACGCGUAAUGAAAGUGAACGUAGGUGAGAGCUUCGGCGCAUCAUCGACCGAUCCUGAUGUAUUCGGAUGGAUUUGAGUAAGAGCGUAUAGCCUCGGACCCGAAAGAUGGUGAACUAUGCCUGUAUAGGGUGAAGCCAGAGGAAACUCUGGUGGAGGCUCGCAGCGGUUCUGACGUGCAAAUCGAUCGUCAAAUAUGGGCAUGGGGGCGAAAGACUAAUCGAACCAUCUAGUA